Veillonella sp. oral taxon 780 is the source of this 1649-nucleotide non-coding RNA. The record is from Rfam. Lineage: Bacteria; Bacillati; Bacillota; Negativicutes; Veillonellales; Veillonellaceae.
AGUAAAGAUAGUAAGGGCAUACGGUGGAUGCCUUGGCUAUACUGGCCGAAGAAGGACGCGGUAAGCUGCGAAAAGCUACGGAGAGGUGCAAGCGACCAUUGACCCGUAGAUAUCCGAAUGGGGGAACCCGGCAGAGUAAAGCUCUGUCACCCAUACCAGAGAGUAUGAGGAGGGCACCUGGGGAACUGAAACAUCUAAGUACCCAGAGGAAAAGUAAUCAAACGAGAUUCUCUUAGUAGCGGCGAGCGAACGGGGAAGAGCCCAAACCGGACUGGUUCGCCAGACCGGGGUUGAGGACUGCUAACAAGCAUAAAUGGGAUAGACGAACCGACUUGGAACGGUCGGCCGAAGAAGGUGAAAGCCCUGUAGUCGAAAUCCUGCAUAUGUGGAGCAGUAUCCAGAGUACCACGAGACACGUGAAACCUUGUGGGAAGCAGGGGGGACCACCCUCCAAGGCAAAAUACCAGUAUGGACCGAUAGCGCAUAGUACCGUGAGGGAAAGGUGAAAAGCACCCCGGGAGGGGAGUGAAAGAGAACCUGAAACCGUAUGUCUACAAACAGUCGAAGACCGUAUAAUUGCAGGUCGACGGCGUGCCUAUUGAAGAAUGAACCGGCGAGUUACUGUCACUAGCGAGGUUAAGCGGAAAACGUGGAGCCGAAGCGAAAGCGAGUCUGAAUAGGGCGAGGAGUUAGUGGUAGUAGACCCGAAACCGUAGUGAUCUAUCCAUGGCCAGGUUGAAGCACAGGUAAAAUUGUGUGGAGGACCGAACUCGUGAGCGUUGAAAAGCUUUGGGAUGAGUUGUGGAUAGGGGUGAAAUGCCAAUCGAACACGGAGAUAGCUGGUUCUCCCCGAAAUAGCUUUAGGGCUAGCCUCAUGGUAAAGAGUAUAGGCGGUAGAGCUCUGAUCGGGCUAGGGCCCACACCGGGUACCGAACCUAGUCAAACUACGAAUGGCUAUACUUAUACAUGGGAGUCAGACUAUGAGUGAUAAGGCCCAUAGUCAAGAGGGAAACAGCCCAGACCACCGACUAAGGCCCCCAAUGCUGCAUUAAGUGGCAAAGGAUGUGGAGUUUCCAAAACAACCAGGAUGUUGGCUUAGAAGCAGCCACCAUUUAAAGAGUGCGUAAUAGCUCACUGGUCGAGAGACUCUGCGCCGAAAAUGUCCGGGGCUAAAAUGCAGAGCCGAAGUCGUGGCAAUGGUAGUAAUACCAUUGGGUAGGGGAGCGUUCUUAUUGGAUUGAAGCAGUACCGGAAGGAGCUGUGGACUGGUAAGAAGUGAGAAUGCCGGUAUGAGUAGCGAAAAGAAAGGUGAGAAUCCUUUCCACCGAAAGCCUAAGGGUUCCUGAGCAGCGAUCGUCGUCUCAGGGUAAGUCGGGACCUAAGCCGAGGCGGAAAAGCAUAGGCGAUGGACAACAGGUUGAAAUUCCUGUACUAGUAUGAAUUGUUUGAUCGAUGGAGUGACGCAAACAGGUAGGUUAGCAUGCGAUUGGAAGUGCAUGUUUAAGCGUGUAGGUUGAGUAAUAGGUAAAUCCGUUACUCUAAAAGCUGAGGCGUGAUGACGAGCUCAAAAGAGCGAAGUAAUUGAUCCUAAGUUGCCGAGAAAAGCUUCUAGGUAGAGACAUACUACCCGUACCAAAACCGACACAGGU